Oryza sativa Japonica Group (Japanese rice) is the source of this 501-nucleotide non-coding RNA. Lineage: Eukaryota; Viridiplantae; Streptophyta; Magnoliopsida; Poales; Poaceae. The record is from RefSeq and is a predicted model, not a curated record.
AAAAGAAAAACGCCCAGAACAUCAGAUCCGCCACCCGCAAUCCGCCGGCCUUGCCCGUCACCCACGACAGCCGUCGACGGCCCCUCCGCGCCUCCACUGCCUCCGUCCAAGCGGCCACCGCCGCGCGGGCGGACGGGGAUCGCGGCGGACUACGGGGACGCCGCGGCCUUCUCCUCCCUCUCUCCCCCCGCGGGACCUUCCCGUCCCCGCCGAUCCGCCGCCCCGUACGCCGAUCGCCAUCUCCGCCGUCCAGUCCGCGGCCCCCUACGCCGAUCGCGACGCACAGCCCCCCUCUAACAAGGUACUGAUCCCCUCAUCGCAGUUAAGGGGUUUGUCCGUUGCCAUGACCGACUCGAAAUACGCUGUGGCACUCCGAUUGGCAUCUGAUUUGGACUCGUCCCAACCCUUCCCAAUUUCCCCCUCCUCGCCUAUAUAAGGGAGCCACUACGGUGGCAGAUCCCACGAAGAAGAGAGGAAUAGAGGCUUGACAACACCACGCCC